CUGCCACGAUGUCGUCAGGAACAGGAAUCAGCUCCUCCUGCACCUGAGUGGCAAAAACCCGCCCACUCGGUGCCCUCGAUGCCUCCGGCUGACGCGAUGAGGACGAGCGCCCAGCCGACAUCGCCGGUGGUAACCCCUCCUGCUGUCUCGGGGUAUAAGGAACUGAUGCCGAGGUCGGUGCAGAUGAACCCCAGCUCGGGCACUCCCGAGACAUGUUGCCCGGUUGGCCACACUUGAAGCACUUCCUUUUGCGCUGCGGGCACACCGGUGGCUGAUGGUUACCGCCGCAAAUAACGCAACGGGAGGGCCUCCAACUCCUCGACUGCUGUCGGGGGUACCGAGGGGGUUUCUUUGCACUCGGCCGGCUCCCGGUGCCAC
RNAcentral lists this long non-coding RNA (378 nucleotides) under Ananas comosus (pineapple). RNAcentral describes it as "long non-coding RNA (ACOM_LNC003799)". Lineage: Eukaryota; Viridiplantae; Streptophyta; Magnoliopsida; Poales; Bromeliaceae. The record is from RNAcentral.